This 939-nucleotide ribosomal RNA is filed under the name Vibrio parahaemolyticus. RNAcentral describes it as "partial 23S ribosomal RNA". It matches the Rfam family "Bacterial large subunit ribosomal RNA", at positions 197 to 1188 of the family's 2925-position model. The record is from RNAcentral. Lineage: Bacteria; Pseudomonadati; Pseudomonadota; Gammaproteobacteria; Vibrionales; Vibrionaceae.
AACAUCUAAGUACCCCGAGGAAAAGAAAUCAACCGAGAUUCCGAAAGUAGCGGCGAGCGAAAUUGGACUAGCCCUUAAGCUUUACACGCGUUAGACGAACGGUCUGGAAAGUCCGACGAUACAGGGUGAUAGUCCCGUAGUUGACGACGUGUGUUCAGUGAAAUCGAGUAGGGCGGGACACGUGAUAUCCUGUCUGAAUAUGGGGGGACCAUCCUCCAAGGCUAAAUACUACUGACUGACCGAUAGUGAACCAGUACCGUGAGGGAAAGGCGAAAAGAACCCCUGUGAGGGGAGUGAAAUAGAACCUGAAACCGUGUACGUACAAGCAGUAGGAGCACCUUCGUGGUGUGACUGCGUACCUUUUGUAUAAUGGGUCAGCGACUUAUAUUCAGUGGCAAGGUUAACCAUCUAGGGGAGCCGUAGGGAAACCGAGUCUUAACUGGGCGUUCAGUCUCUGGAUAUAGACCCGAAACCAGGUGAUCUAGCCAUGGGCAGGUUGAAGGUUGAGUAACAUCAACUGGAGGACCGAACCGACUAAUGUUGAAAAAUUAGCGGAUGACUUGUGGCUAGGGGUGAAAGGCCAAUCAAACCUGGAGAUAGCUGGUUCUCCCCGAAAGCUAUUUAGGUAGCGCCUCGGACGAAUACUACUGGGGGUAGAGCACUGUUAAGGCUAGGGGGUCAUCCCGACUUACCAACCCUUUGCAAACUCCGAAUACCAGUAAGUACUAUCCGGGAGACACACGGCGGGUGCUAACGUCCGUCGUGGAGAGGGAAACAACCCAGACCGCCAGCUAAGGUCCCAAAUUACUACUAAGUGGGAAACGAUGUGGGAAGGCUCAGACAGCCAGGAUGUUGGCUUAGAAGCAGCCAUCAUUUAAAGAAAGCGUAAUAGCUCACUGGUCGAGUCGGCCUGCGCGGAAGAUGUAACGGGGCUAAGUA